Molecule: ribosomal RNA, 584 nt
Filed under: uncultured Lachnospiraceae bacterium
Lineage: Bacteria; Bacillati; Bacillota; Clostridia; Lachnospirales; Lachnospiraceae
Description: bacterial SSU rRNA
Rfam family: Bacterial small subunit ribosomal RNA
Source: RNAcentral
UGACUGAGUGGCGGACGGGUGAGUAACGCGUGGGUAACCUGCCUCAUACAGGGGGAUAACAGUUAGAAAUGACUGCUAAUACCGCAUAAGCGCACAGUGCUGCAUGGCACAGUGUGAAAAACUCCGGUGGUAUGAGAUGGACCCGCGUCUGAUUAGCUAGUUGGUGGGGUAACGGCCUACCAAGGCGACGAUCAGUAGCCGGCCUGAGAGGGUGAACGGCCACAUUGGGACUGAGACACGGCCCAAACUCCUACGGGAGGCAGCAGUGGGGAAUAUUGCACAAUGGGGGAAACCCUGAUGCAGCGACGCCGCGUGAGCGAAGAAGUAUUUCGGUAUGUAAAGCUCUAUCAGCAGGGAAGAAAAUGACGGUACCUGACUAAGAAGCACCGGCUAAAUACGUGCCAGCAGCCGCGGUAAUACGUAUGGUGCAAGCGUUAUCCGGAUUUACUGGGUGUAAAGGGAGCGUAGACGGUUGUGUAAGUCUGAUGUGAAAGCCCGGGGCUCAACCCCGGGACUGCAUUGGAAACUAUGUAACUAGAGUGUCGGAGAGGUAAGCGGAAUUCCUAGUGUAGCGGUGAGAUGCG